Molecule: non-coding RNA, 72 nt
Organism: Podarcis lilfordi (Lilford's wall lizard)
Lineage: Eukaryota; Metazoa; Chordata; Lepidosauria; Squamata; Lacertidae
Source: the annotation of a GenBank genome assembly
GCCAGAUGGCUUAGUUGGUAGAGCAUGAGACUCUUAAUUUCAGGGUCAUGAGUUCAAGCCCCACGUUGGGCA